Molecule: ribosomal RNA, 255 nt
Filed under: uncultured bacterium
Lineage: Bacteria
Description: partial 16S ribosomal RNA
Rfam family: Bacterial small subunit ribosomal RNA
Source: RNAcentral
GUCCACGCCGUAAACGAUGGAUACUAGCUGUUGGGCGCAAGUUCAGUGGCUAAGCGAAAGUGAUAAGUAUCCCACCUGGGGAGUACGUUCGCAAGAAUGAAACUCAAAGGAAUUGACGGGGGCCCGCACAAGCUGUGGAGCAUGUGGUUUAAUUCGAUGAUACGCGAGUAACCUUACCAAGGCUUAAAUGUAGAUUGACCGGUUUGGAAACAGACUUUUCGCAAGACAAUUUACAAGGUGCUGCAUGGUUGUCGU